Molecule: ribosomal RNA, 419 nt
Filed under: uncultured Eubacteriales bacterium
Lineage: Bacteria; Bacillati; Bacillota; Clostridia; Eubacteriales
Description: bacterial SSU rRNA
Rfam family: Bacterial small subunit ribosomal RNA
Source: RNAcentral
UGGGGGAUAUUGCACAAUGGGGGAAACCCUGAUGCAGCGACGCCGCGUGAGUGAAGAAGUAUUUCGGUACGUAAAGCUCUAUCAGCAGGGAAGAAAAAAAGUCCACAGGACUUUGGACGGUACCUGACUAAGAAGCCCCGGCUAACUACGUGCCAGCAGCCGCGGUAAUACGUAGGGGGCAAGCGUUAUCCGGAUUUACUGGGUGUAAAGGGAGCGUAGACGGCUGUGCAAGUCUGAAGUGAAAUGCCGGGGCUCAACCCCGGAACUGCUUUGGAAACUGUACAGCUAGAGUGCAGGAGGGGUGAGCGGAAUUCCUAGUGUAGCGGUGAAAUGCGUAGAUAUUAGGAGGAACACCGGUGGCGAAGGCGGCUCACUGGACUGUAACUGACGUUGAGGCUCGAAAGCGUGGGGAGCAAACA